AUCACUGUUCCUUGCACCGUC
Molecule: microRNA, 21 nt
Filed under: Marchantia polymorpha subsp. ruderalis
Lineage: Eukaryota; Viridiplantae; Streptophyta; Marchantiopsida; Marchantiales; Marchantiaceae
Source: RNAcentral